This 123-nucleotide ribosomal RNA is filed under the name Pteropus vampyrus (large flying fox). The record is from RNAcentral. Lineage: Eukaryota; Metazoa; Chordata; Mammalia; Chiroptera; Pteropodidae.
GUCUAUGACCAUGCCACCCUGAACAAGCCCAAUCUAAUCUAUCUCAGAAGCUAAGCAGGGUCGGGCCUGGUUAGUAACUGGAAUGGAAAAACCACCUAAGGAAGAACCGGGUGGCUGUAGGCA